RNAcentral lists this ribosomal RNA (253 nucleotides) under uncultured bacterium. RNAcentral describes it as "partial 16S ribosomal RNA". It matches the Rfam family "Bacterial small subunit ribosomal RNA", at positions 524 to 776 of the family's 1533-position model. The record is from RNAcentral.
UACGUAGGGGGCAAGCGUUGUCCGGAAUCAUUGGGCGUAAAGCGCGCGUAGGCGGUCCGGUAAGUCCGCUCUGAAAGCCCGGGGCUCAACCCCGGGAGGCGGGCGGAUACUGUCGGGCUAGAGUCCGGAAGAGGCGAGUGGAAUUCCUGGUGUAGCGGUGAAAUGCGCAGAUAUCAGGAGGAACACCGGUGGCGAAGGCGGGUCUCUGGGCCGAUAUUGACGCUGAGGAGCGAAAGCGUGGGGAGCAAACAGG